Molecule: long non-coding RNA, 1670 nt
Filed under: Gopherus agassizii (Agassiz's desert tortoise)
Lineage: Eukaryota; Metazoa; Chordata; Testudines; Testudinidae
Description: lncRNA (ENSGAGG00000004833.1)
Source: RNAcentral
CUGCGGGGCCUGGACCCAGAAUUGCGCCGCAGGCUGAGGUUUGGGAUCAAGCCUCCAUCAGUAGCGAGGGAAGGGAAAUUGCUGAGAAGCCGGAUCAUCGAGCAGGUUUCCUCUUCCGGGAUUGGCCUCUGCAGAUGCGCUGAUCAUACACGUCACCAUGGCUCCCAGGCUCACAGGGCAUCUCUGGAGGACAGCGGGACGCUGUUGCCUUCUCCUCUUGCUGAUUUCCAGGACUGUUACCUCCACCCAAUGCCAACCUGAGCCAUCAGGCGCUGGCGAUUGCCCUCACACUCUCUGUUCUGUGUCCAGUGGGGGCUCCUUGCGCAUCCCACUUCACCUGCCCGCCACCCUGGACCUUUACAAGAUGCACAAUUCCACGCUGACAUGGGACCACAUCUACACCUUCAUCAACGGGACAUCACAUCAGCUGCUGCGUUCCUUCCAAAGGCAGGUCUCCGUGUCCGGGGGCGACUUCAUGGUGCAAGGCGUGCGCCGCGGGGACGGGGGAGUCUACAUGUUCCAAGAUCUGGAUGCGACAUGCCUGGCCUGGCUCCAUCUGACAGUUCUGGAGCCCGUGGAUUGGAGAUGGUACCUGCUCCUUCUCAUUCCAGUUUCGCUGGUUCUAGCCCUUGUGGGCUGGAAGCUAAAGGACUCGUGUCGGCGAGGAUAGCCGUGGGUGACCAAGAAGCUGGAGACAGAAACUGUGGAUGUGACCAGGGAGCCCCCAAAAUCAGCCUGUCACUGUUUGUGUGUGUUUGGGACACAGAGGUCUCCCCCAACUCCCUUAACUAUCCACACAGCUGAAGGCUGGUCUCCGUAGGAGUUCCACCUGGGUGACACACACAGUGGUGAAACCACAGCUGUGUGUGCAUAGUCACACACUUCAGGUAGCGCUGGUGCAAGCGGCCUCAUCUCUGAGCCGCACCUCCGUGCAUGGCGCAUUGCAUUGUGGGUAGCUAACCCAGGCACUCCAUGGCCCACUGAAUUCUGGGUAAAUUUUGCACUAGAUUGUGGGAUAGUUCCAGGAAGCCAGGGGGAGUUGCCUCUGCGCUGUAUCCCAGAAUUCACCACGGUAAUUUUUGCUGUGCUUUGUGGGACACUUCCCAGAGGCCCAGAGCACUUGUGAGAAAAGGGAUCAAAGGACCACCGUUUCCCCCUGCCCGCAUUCCCCAUAUCCCAGAAUUCACUUGGUGUGCAUGCCCCUUCCAAACUGAUCUCUGAACAUGGAGCUCCAGGUCCUGCUGAAACAGUAAACCAGUGCUGGCAUAGUGGGUGAGGUGACGGUGGUCUCUGGAGUCAUGCAAGCCAAAAUACCCAUUGGGAUGUUGACUCUGAGCCCUAAUGAUGAUACUUGACAUGUCAACAUGCUUAAGGGGUUUGUAAACUUCAUCUGAGAGGGAGGCUGACCUUGUGGUGACAGGACUGUAGUCUAUCCCCAGCUUUGCCAUACCCUCCCUGUGUAGCCAUGGGUAGUCACUGCAUUGCUCAGUGCCUCAGUUUCCCCCUCUGUAAAAUGAGGAUGAUAAGCCUUUUGUGUAUUUAGAUUAUAAAUCUUGCAGGGUAAGGACUGUCAGUAAGGUUGUAUGGCAUCUGGUACAAUGGCUGAGCUUGGAUGGUGUGACCGUAAUAUAAAUAAUAAGAGAGAGAGAACAUUGUCAUCACAGAAGAUA